This 393-nucleotide ribosomal RNA is filed under the name uncultured bacterium. RNAcentral describes it as "partial 16S ribosomal RNA". It matches the Rfam family "Bacterial small subunit ribosomal RNA", at positions 523 to 918 of the family's 1533-position model. The record is from RNAcentral.
AUACGGAGGAUGCGAGCGUUAUCCGGAUUUAUUGGGUUUAAAGGGUGCGUAGGCUGUGCGUUAAGUCAGGGGUGAAAUGCCGUCGCUCAACGACGGAGCUGCCCUUGAUACUGGCGUGCUGGAGUACGGAUGCCGUUGGAGGAAUGAGUGGUGUAGCGGUGAAAUGCUUAGAUAUCACUAAGAACACCGAUUGCGAAGGCAUCUGGCGAAUCCGUCACGGUCGCUGAGGCACGAAUGCGUGGGGAUAGAACAGGAUUAGAUACCCUGGUAUUCCACGCCGUAAACGACGAUGACUAACCGUCGGCGAUAGACAGCCGGUGGCCAAGCGAAAGCGAUAAGUCAUCCACCUGGGGAGUACGUCGGCAACGAUGAAACUCAAAUGAAUUGACGGGG